CACCUGGAUACAUGAUGAAUUCCUGGGGGAAGUGAAAGACCCUGCAUCUGUCAAAUAUUGUUGGUUGAGGAUUUUUAAGAUGUAUAUAUAAUUCAAUUUUUGAUGACAAAAUUUCUGCUGUUUGGACUUGGCUGUUAUCUGGUGUAUCAUGAGAUUCAGAAAACAUUGGCAGCUGUUCUGCCCAUUGAGAGGCUGCCUGUCUCAUACAAGGAAAUGUCUUGCUGUGAACAUUCAGACUCAGAUGCUGUGUGAGCAGAACCACAAACAAGAAGAGAUUCUUGCUGAGAGAAACAUUUCAGUUGCAGUUCCUGAAAUCUAAGGAACAAACAUUGGAGAAUUUGCAAGCUCGGCUCGGCAGGACUGAUCAUGAGUUUGGCUGUCUGGAGUUGGCAUUGAGGUUUAUCAGUGAGAACAAUUAUUGUCAUCUGAAUCUGAAUGUUAAAAAUAAUAAUAGUACAUGACUGAAUACUAAAAUUAUUUUGCAGCAUUUUAUUUCAGGGAGGGAAAAAAGACCAAGACAUGCAGACAAGAAGGUGUAAUUACUGACAAACACACUGGAUUCUGAUGGGUUUGGGCCACCAGGCUGAACUAAGAGCAGCAGGUUACUGGCAGAGGAUUAAUUACCAUGUAACAUAUGUGCUGUUGGUUUUGUGAAACCAAAUCAAGGUUUAAUUAAGUCAGGAUAUCUGAUAAAUCAUGGUUUAAUCUUCUAUCCUUUUUUGGGAAACAUCACUCAAAGUUUGAA
Molecule: long non-coding RNA, 745 nt
Organism: Xiphophorus couchianus (Monterrey platyfish)
Lineage: Eukaryota; Metazoa; Chordata; Actinopteri; Cyprinodontiformes; Poeciliidae
Exons: 2
Source: RefSeq, a predicted model, not a curated record